GCGCCGCUAGCUCAAAUGGUAGAGCAACGGAUUCUUAAUCCGUGGGUUCGGGGUUCAAUUCCCUGGCGGCGUA
Molecule: transfer RNA, 73 nt
Filed under: Candidatus Cloacimonadota bacterium
Lineage: Bacteria; Pseudomonadati; Candidatus Cloacimonadota
Also listed under: 1 other name
Description: Candidatus Cloacimonetes bacterium tRNA-Lys
Rfam family: tRNA
About the family: Transfer RNA (tRNA) molecules are approximately 80 nucleotides in length.
Source: RNAcentral